GGCUGGUCUGAUGGCAGUGGGUUAUCAGAACUUAUUAACAUUAGUGUCACUAAAGUUGGUAUACCACCCCCCCCACUGCUAAAUUUGACUGGCUUAAA
This is an unclassified non-coding RNA of Cavia porcellus (domestic guinea pig), 98 nucleotides long. It matches the Rfam family "Y RNA". Rfam says of the family: Y RNAs are components of the Ro ribonucleoprotein particle (Ro RNP), in association with Ro60 and La proteins. The record is from Ensembl. NCBI's taxonomy places the organism in Eukaryota, Metazoa, Chordata, Mammalia, Rodentia, Caviidae.